This 498-nucleotide ribosomal RNA is filed under the name uncultured bacterium. RNAcentral describes it as "partial 16S ribosomal RNA". It matches the Rfam family "Bacterial small subunit ribosomal RNA", at positions 28 to 507 of the family's 1533-position model. The record is from RNAcentral.
GACGAACGCUGGCGGCGUGCCUAACACAUGCAAGUCGAGCGGACGAUUCGAAAUUUUGCCUUUGCAUCGUUAGCGGCGGACGGGUGAGUCACACGUGUGCAACCUGCCCUGUAGAAGGGGAUACCACCGCGAGAUCGGUUCUAAUACCCGAUCACACGAAGUGUCGCAUGACGCUUCGUUGAAAGGCGGCGCAUGCUACCGUAACAGGGUGGGCCCGCGGCGCAUUAGCUAGUUGGUGAGGUAACGGCUCACCAAGGCGACGAUGCGUAGCGGACCUGAGAGGGUGAUCGGCCACACUGGGACUGAGACACGGCCCAGACUCCUACGGGAGGCAGCAGUGGGGAAUCUUGCGCAAAGGACGAAAGUCUGACGGAGCAACGCCGCGUGAGCGAAGAAGGCCUUCGGGUCGUAAAGCUCUGUUGGUAGGGAGGAACAAGAGACGUAGUAACCGAUGUUACUAUGACGGUACCUAACGAGAAAGCCACGGCUAACUACGUG